UGUACCACCAUCCAGGGACAUGGUCACAUUUAAUUUCUCAAAGCUGAAGGAAAUAUGAUGAUCAGGAUAUGAAGAAGAAAACAAUAAAAAAAUCAUGUCUAGCAAGAACAGAGGUCACCUCCAAUGGAGACACUUCAGGAAUUGCUCGGGAAAGAACAUCAAGUGGUCAAACAGGAGGAUAUAUGUGGUUCAAGCUACAGAAACAGCAACAGGCUGAGCAGCCAACAUAAGAAUAGAAAAUAUGGGAAAAUUUCCCACUCACUUUAUGAGACUUUUAUAACUUUGGAAUUAACUUUAUGGGGACAUUACAAUUCAGGAGAAUUACAAGCCAAUUUUAUUAAUGAAUGCAAGUAAAAUCCUACAUAAAAUAUGAAGACAUCAAAUGUACCAAUUUAUGAAAGGGAAACUGUGAUGGACAUUACCCAUAAACUUUUUAUAAGGAGGUUAAGGGCAGGAAAAACAUGAGAAACUCUUUUGAGAAGCUGCACAAGCUGACAUGGAGGAUCAAGGAUUUCAAAAGCUUUGAAUAUAAAGAGGUGUCAGACUUACAUCAGAGCCUGAGACUUGACAUGCCUAUUUUUGCACUCGCUCAUUUUUCAAAUUUCAUAGGCAUUGCUCCCUCCAAAUCACCGCUCUUCUAAUUUUAUCCUGGAGUGUGCAUCCCAGAAGACAUAAGCUGACACAAUUGGGAACUGAAGUUGCUUGAAAAAGCUGGUGGUAAGAUUAGGGAUCAGCAUCAUAUAUCACUAUUUCUCAAAGAUUAUCUGGUCUCUUGAUGGCAAAUCUACAAUAUUGAAACCUUUGAAAGAGAAAUUGUGUUUUGUGAGUUACAUGACUACCGUUUGCAUCCAAGGUCUCCUCUGUAGUCAAGAGAAGAAUGCAGAAACUACAUGUCCAAGAAUCUCUUUCCAGACUCUAGACAGCUUAUACGUAUUUGGACAAGGCAACGUGAUGAAGAAAUAAUAUAAUUGUAGGAUCACCUCUGUCCAGUAGCUGUUAUCCAACAUCUGCAUACUUAGAUUUCUGGAGAGAUAUCCAUGAAUGACCAUGAAAGUACAGCAAGUGAUUUUCAAGCUGCAAACAAAUUUUAGCAAGCAAAUGGAAGAAGAAAGAGGAGAGUGGUGGUGUGUGCUUUCCCUUUAAUGGCAGAACCCAACAGUCGUACACACCACUUCUACCCUCUUAAGAUGGGUCAGAAUCCAGGCCCAAUUCCAUGUAUACAUGGAAGAGAGGCUUAUUAAAGUAGCCUUCAGUUGCUGGACAGAGUUCCAUCCAAAACUACAGUUAAUAGUUGUACCUGAAUCCAGCUGUACACAUCUGCUCAUUGACAUAAUCUCCGAGGAAGUUUUGGUGAAUCAGGUCUACCUUAAAUCAGUAAGGUCUGUGGCUGUCCAGAUGCACAUCAUAAUCGGCACAGAACUCUACCAUUUGGUCAAAACCAAAAACUAACUGGGACGCCUAA
Long non-coding RNA from Homo sapiens (human), 1462 nucleotides. Ensembl annotates it as long intergenic non-protein coding RNA 1684. Lineage: Eukaryota; Metazoa; Chordata; Mammalia; Primates; Hominidae. The record is from Ensembl.